GUGGGGAAUAUUGCACAAUGGGCGAAAGCCUGAUGCAGCAACGCCGCGUGAGGGACGACGGCCUUCGGGUUGUAAACCUCUUUUAGUAGGGAAGAAGCGAAAGUGACGGUACCUGCAGAAAAAGCACCGGCUAACUACGUGCCAGCAGCCGCGGUAAUACGUAGGGUGCAAGCGUUAUCCGGAAUUAUUGGGCGUAAAGAGCUCGUAGGCGGUCUGUCGCGUCUGCUGUGAAAACUGGAGGCUCAACCUCCAGCCUACAGUGGGUACGGGCAGACUAGAGUGCGGUAGGGGAGAUUGGAAUUCCUGGUGUAGCGGUGGAAUGCGCAGAUAUCAGGAGGAACACCGAUGGCGAAGGCAGAUCUCUGGGCCGUAACUGACGCUGAGGAGCGAAAGCGUGGGGAGCGAACAGGAUUAGAUACCCGGGUAGUCC
RNAcentral lists this ribosomal RNA (430 nucleotides) under uncultured bacterium. Its description in RNAcentral is "partial 16S ribosomal RNA". It matches the Rfam family "Bacterial small subunit ribosomal RNA", at positions 354 to 796 of the family's 1533-position model. The record is from RNAcentral.